AGGAAUGUAAGGGUGUAUGGUGGAUGCCUAGGCUUCAAGAAGCGAUGAAGGACGUGGAAUGGCUGCGAUAAGUUCCGGUAAGGUGCCAAUCAACCGUUAUAACCGGAAAUCUCCGAAUGGGGAAACCCAACUAUCUACGAUAGUUACUCUACGUAUGUAGAGAGUAAACCCAGGGAAGUGAAACAUCUCAGUACCUGGAGGAAAAGAAAGCAAAUCAAGGGACUUUCUUUCUGGUUGGAUCAGUCGUAAGACUGGCCAUUACAAUCAGGAAGAAGGUUCUUGCGAUGCCCUGAGUAGCGGCGAGCGAAACGGGUUCAGCCCAAACCGUGCGUGUUUACAUUCACGGGGUUGUAGGGCAGUGACUGCAUUUAGUUGCGAAAAGUUACAAAACGUUAAUAUAGUAAAACGCGUUGGAAAGCGCGACCCAAGUAGGUAAUAGUCCUGUAUACGAAAUGUUAACGACUUUUUUGUCACCGUUCCUGAGUAGUUCGAGACAUGAAUAGCUCGAAUGAAUCUGCCAGUACUAACUGGUAAGGCUAAAUAUUCUUGAAGACCGAUAGUGAACUAGUACCGUGAGGGAAAGGUGAAAAGAACCCCGGAGAGGGGAGUGAAAUAGACCUGAAACCAUACAUCUACAAGGAGUCGGAGGCCUGCGGGCCGACGGCGUGCCUAUUGAAGAAUGAGCCGGCGAGUGUAUCUGUAUUCUUUGUCUAAGGGGAAGCCCCCCGGAGGCGCAGUGAAAGCGAGCGUUAAUAGCGCGAAUAUAGAGUACGGAUACGACCCGAAGCGGGAUGAGCUUGCCAUGAGCAGGGUGAAGCGGAGGUAAAACUCCGUGGAGGCCCGAACCGGUUGGCCGUACAAAACCAUCGGAUGACUUGUGGUAAGGAGUGAAAAGCUUAUCGAAUUCCGUAAUAGCUGGUUCUCUCCGAAACAGCUUUAGGGUUGGCGUCGCGUGUUUCUGCUGGGGGUAGAGCACUGGAAGGUCUAAAUAGGGAGAAAUCUCGUUAGUCCUAUCAAACUCCGAAUACCAGUUAGUAUAAGCGCGGCAGUUAGACUGUGGGGGAGAAGCUCCAUUGGUCGAAAGGGAAACAGCCCAGAUCGCCAGUUAAGGUCCCUAAAUAUAUGCUCAGUGCAACUUGAGGAGGUGAGGAUUCACCAACAGCCAGGAGGUUGGCUUAGAAGCAGCCAUCCUUUAAAGAUAGCGUAACAGCUCACUGGUCGAGAGUCCUCGCGCCGAAGAUGAUCGGGGCUCAAGCAUAUUACCGAAACUGCGGAUUCGCUCUGUCUUCGGACAGAGAGAGUGGUAGGAGAGCGUUCUGUUCUGCAAUGAAGCCAAGGCGGGAGCCGCGGUGGAGCGUACAGAAGUGAGAAUGCCGGCACAAGUAACCGCAAGACGGGUGAGAACCCCGUCCGCCGAAAUACCGAGGUUUCCUUUGCGAUGGUGAUCAGCGAAGGGUUAGUCGGUCCUAAGGGAAUCCCGAACGGGGGACCCGAUGGAGAGCAGGUUAAUAUUCCUGCACACUGUUAUGUUGCGAUGGAGGGACGGAGGGUUGUACUCAAAGCAUCUUAUUGGAUUGGUGUUGGAGCUAUGAGCGUGUUACUUAGGCAANNNNNNNNNNNNNNNNNNNNNNNNNNNNNNNNNNNNNNNNNUCUAAGCAUAAACAUAACGGUUCCGUACCGCAAACCGACACAGGUGGUAGGGUCGAGAAGACCAAGGCGAACGAGUGAGAGGUCCUUAAGGAACUCGGCAAAAAAUCGGCCGUAACUUCGGGAUAAGGCCUGCCUCAACAUCUUCGGAUGGUUGAGGCCGCAGCGAAAGAUUUCCUGGCGACUGUUUAACAAAAACACAGCUCCCUGCGAACUCGCAAGAGGAUGUAUAGGGGGUGACGCCUGACCAAUGCCGGAAGGUUAAGCAUGGAGGGUGAAAUGUCUUCGGAUGUUUUGCUGGGCUAUGUAAGCCCCGGUCAAUGUCAGCGAUAACUAUAAUCGUUCUAAGGUAGAGCACGCUUCAUUUAUUGAAGUUUGCUCUACGGACUGGAACGAUUAUAGGGUUAAACAGCCCGAGCCAUAGUUACCUUGUUUGCAGAAAUGUAGACAUAGUCCAAACCUAGCCAACAAGAGACCAAAUGCUAGGCGUCCUCACUUCAGCAAUGAAGCGGAUGAAGAUAGAGUCCUAUUGUGUACGAACAGGUCACGGCCUGUUCACAAAAGAAGGAAUUAUAGAGCGCAAUUCCUUGUCGGGUAAGUUCCGACGUGCACGAAUGGCGUAACGACUGGGAAACUGUCUCAAGGACCUGCUCGGUGAAAAUACAAUCCCGGUGAAGAUGCCGGGUACCUGCAGUUAGACGAAAAGACCCCAGGAGCUUUACUGUAGCUUCGUAUUGGGGCUGUUUGAUUAAUGCGUAGCAUAGGAGGGAGACUUUGAAGCGGGCUUUCGGGCACCGUGGAGUCGCCAGUGAAAUACCUCUCUUUAUUUGGGCAGUUCCUAACCGGACGGGCAAAACCCGUUCGAGACAGUGCGUGGCAGGCAGUUUUAGUGGGGCGCUACCCUCCCAAAAAGUAACGGAGGGGUCUCAAGGUUGGUUAGGCGCGAAUGGAAACCGUGCCGAUAGUGUAAUGGCAUAAACCAGCUUGA
Molecule: ribosomal RNA, 2635 nt
Filed under: Candidatus Kaiserbacteria bacterium CG10_big_fil_rev_8_21_14_0_10_47_16
Lineage: Bacteria; Candidatus Kaiseribacteriota
Description: bacterial LSU rRNA
Rfam family: Bacterial large subunit ribosomal RNA
Source: RNAcentral